AUGUUGGCUGUAUGACAAGUUUGCAGCCGACACCUCACAGGUCCAGUGUGAUACUUUUGCAGCCGACACCUUACAGGCUACGCCACCUGAGUUUCUUGCCCCGCAAAGUGUCGGCUGCUUAUAUAAACUUACACAAAUCACAUUUUCGA
This is a non-coding RNA of Caenorhabditis elegans, 149 nucleotides long. Lineage: Eukaryota; Metazoa; Nematoda; Chromadorea; Rhabditida; Rhabditidae. The record is from Ensembl.